UUUUACAGUGUAAAAUCUGAGUUUUCAGUCAACCGGAGGACAAGAAUGAUGAGAUCCUUGAGUGUUUUACUAGUGAUCCUGAGUCUUCAGUUGAGCUGGGUGAGCAGCCAACAGAAGGAGGUGGAGCAGCAUCCUGAAUCCCUCCGUGUUGCUGAAGGAACCACGGCCUCUCUCAACUGCACUUACAGGAACAGUGCUUAUGAUAACUUCAGGUGGUACAGACAGUAUUCUGGGAAAGGCCUUGAGCUGCUGGUGUCUGCAUUCUCCAGUGGUGAUAAAGAAGCAGGAAGAUUCACAGUGCUUAUCAAUACAGCAAGCCGAUUCUUUUCCUUGCACUUUAGAGACUCCCAGCCCAGUGACUCAGCCACCUUCCUCUGUGCAGUGAGCACACAGUGCUCCCCAGACACCUGCAGCCUGCACCAAAACCUAAGGGGCCCAAGUAGAGUGUGA
Molecule: non-coding RNA, 450 nt
Organism: Castor canadensis (American beaver)
Lineage: Eukaryota; Metazoa; Chordata; Mammalia; Rodentia; Castoridae
Source: the annotation of a RefSeq genome assembly